RNAcentral lists this non-coding RNA (31 nucleotides) under Rattus norvegicus (Norway rat). The record is from RNAcentral. Lineage: Eukaryota; Metazoa; Chordata; Mammalia; Rodentia; Muridae.
UAUCAAAGCAUGGUACCUACCAUCUGAGGUC